RNAcentral lists this unclassified non-coding RNA (220 nucleotides) under Hevea brasiliensis (rubber tree). The record is from RNAcentral. Lineage: Eukaryota; Viridiplantae; Streptophyta; Magnoliopsida; Malpighiales; Euphorbiaceae.
GAAUUUUCCUCCUCGGCUGGUGGUGCACUAGUGGGCAUCGGUGGAAGAAUGCCAUUUCCUGGAUAGUUGUACUUCUUGAACACCCUUUCUUGGUUUUGCUUCCACCACUCUGCGGCUAGCUGUUCUGCGAACUUUCUCUUGCUGAAUCUAACCCGCCGAAACACUUUGGUUCCAUUUUGUAACUGAAUAAGCGUCACAUAUACGCCAGGCUCAAAUUGCU